GAUAGUAACAAGUACCGUGAGGGAAAGUUGAAAAGAACUCUGAAUAGAGAGUUAAAUAGUACGUGAAACUGCUUAGAGGUUAAGCCCGAUGAACCUGAAUAUCCAUUAUGGAAAAUUCAUCAUUAGAGUUUUAAUAUUUUACUAAUAUUAUAAUAAUAGUGUGCAUUUUUUCCAUAUAAGGACAUUGUAAUCUAUUAACAUAAACCAAAUUUAUCAUAAAAUAUGACUUAUAGUUUAUUUAAAUUAUUUUGCUUGCAUUUUAACAUAGAAUAAAUGUCAUUAAUUUGAUAAAGUGUUGAUAGAUUUAUAUGAAUACAGUGCGUUAAUUUUUCGGAAUUAUAUAAUAGCAUGAUUAUCAUUGAUUUUCUGUGUUUAUUAUAUGCACUUGUAUGAUUAACAAUGCGAAAGAUUCAGGAUACCUUCGGGACCCGUCUUGAAACACGGACCAAGGAGUCUAACAUAUGUGCAAGUUAUUGGGAUAUAAACCUAAUAGCAUAAUUAACUUGACUAAUAAUGGGAUUAGUUUUUUAACUAUUUAUAGAUAAUUAACACAAUCCCGGGGCGUUCUAUAUAGUUAUGUAUAAUAAUAUUUAUAUUAUUUAUACCUCUAACUGGAACGUACCUUGAGCAUAUAUGCUGUGACCCGAAAUAUGGUGAACUAUACUUGAUCAGGUUGAAGUCAGGGGAAACCCUGAUGGAAGACCGAAACAGUUCUGACGUGCAAAUCGAUUGUCAGAAUUGAGUAUAGGGGCGAAAGACCAAUCGAACCAUCUAGUAGCUGGUUCCUUCCGAAGUUUCCCUCAGGAUAGCUGGUGCAUUUAAAUGUUAUAUAAAAUAAUAUUAUCUGGUAAAGCGAAUGAUUAGAGGCCUUAGGGUCGAAACGAUCUUUCAAUGGGUAAGAACCUUAACUUUCUUGAUAUGAAGUUUAAGGUUAUGAUAUAUUGUGCCCAGUGGGCCACUUUUGGUAAGCAGAACUGGCGUUGUGGGAUGAACCAAACGUAAUGUUACGGUGCCCAAAUUAACAACUCAUACAGAAACCAUGAAAGGCGUUGGUUGCUUAAAACAGCAGGACGGUGAUCAUGGAAGUCGAAAUCCGCUAAGGAGUGUGUAACAACUCACCUGCCGAAGCAACAAGCCCUUAAAAUGGAUGGCGCUUAAGUUGUAUACCUAUACAUUACCGCUAAAGUAGAUGAUUUAUAUUAUUUAUAAUAUAAAUUUUGAAACUUGGUGUGCUUAGAAGUGUUUGGCGUAAGCCUGCAUGGAGCCGCCAUUGGUACAGAUCUUGGUGGUAGUAGCAAAUAAUCGAAUGAGACCUUGGAGGACUGAAGUGGAGAAGGGUUUCGUGUGAACAGUGGUUGAUCACGAGUUAGUCGGUCCUAAGUUCAAGGCGAAAGCCGAAAAUUUUCAAGUUUUAAAAAUGUCAAAUGAAAUAAUAAAUAAUAAAACACUUGAAUAAUUUUGAACGAAAGGGAAUACGGUUCCAAUUCCGUAACCUGUUGAGUAUCCGUUUGUUAUUAAAUAUGGGCCUCGUGCUCAUCCUGGCAACAGGAACGACCAUAAAGAAGCCGUUGAGAGGUAUCGGAAGAGUUUUCUUUUCUGUUUUAUAGCAGUACUACCAUGGAAGUCUUUCGCAGAGAGAUAUGGUAGAUGGGCUAGAAGAGCAUGACAUAUACUGUUGUGUCGAUAUUUUCUCCUCGGACCUUGAAAAUUUAUGUUGGGGAUACGCAAACUUCUCAACAGGCCGCACCAAUAUCCGCAGCUGGUCUCCAAGGUGAAGAGUCUCUAGUCGAUAGAAUAAUGUAGGUAAGGGAAGUCGGCAAAUUAGAUCCGUAACUUCGGGAUAAGGAUUGGCUCUGAAGAUUGAGAUAGUCGGGCUUGAUUGGGAAACAAUAACAUGGUUUAUGUGCUCGUUCUGGGUAAAUAGAGUUUCUAUCAUUUAUGAUA
Molecule: ribosomal RNA, 1944 nt
Organism: Drosophila willistoni
Lineage: Eukaryota; Metazoa; Arthropoda; Insecta; Diptera; Drosophilidae
Rfam family: Eukaryotic large subunit ribosomal RNA
Source: Rfam